This 55-nucleotide ribosomal RNA is filed under the name Calotropis procera. RNAcentral describes it as "partial 26S ribosomal RNA". The record is from RNAcentral. Lineage: Eukaryota; Viridiplantae; Streptophyta; Magnoliopsida; Gentianales; Apocynaceae.
GGGCAAUUCGGAGGAUUGCGACCCCAGGUCAGGGCGGGGUAACCCCCCCAAGUUA